CUCCUACGGGAGGCAGCAGUGGGGAAUCUUGCACAAUGGGCGAAAGCCUGAUGCAGCGACGCCGCGUGGGGGAUGAAGCUUUUCGGAGUGUAAACCCCUUUCGACCCGGACGAAUGCCCCGCAAGGGGAGUGACGGUACGGGUAUAAGAAGCCCCGGCUAACUACGUGCCAGCAGCCGCGGUAAGACGUAGGGGGCCAGCGUUGCUCGGAAUUACUGGGUGUAAAGGGUUCGUAGGCGGUGUGGCAAGUCGGGAGUGAAAUCUCUGGGCUCAACCCAGAGGCUGCUUCCGAAACUGCUGUGCUUGAGUGUGGGAGAGGCGCGUGGAAUUGCAGGUGUAGCGGUGAAAUGCGUAGAUAUCUGCAGGAACACCCGUGGCGAAAGCGGCGCGCUGGACCACAACUGACGCUGAGGAACGAAAGCUAGGGGAGCAAACAGGAUUAGAUACCCUGGUAGUCCUAGCCCUAAACGAUCAGGACUUGGGGUGCCGCACGUUCGUGCGUCGUCCCGGAGCUAACGCGUUAAGUCCUGCACCUGGGGAGUACAGUCGCAAGACUGAAACUCAAAGGAAUUGACGG
Molecule: ribosomal RNA, 576 nt
Filed under: uncultured soil bacterium
Lineage: Bacteria
Description: bacterial SSU rRNA
Rfam family: Bacterial small subunit ribosomal RNA
Source: RNAcentral